RNAcentral lists this ribosomal RNA (799 nucleotides) under uncultured Glomeromycotina. RNAcentral describes it as "SSU rRNA". It matches the Rfam family "Eukaryotic small subunit ribosomal RNA", at positions 314 to 1114 of the family's 1831-position model. Lineage: Eukaryota; Fungi; Glomeromycota. The record is from RNAcentral.
AUCAACUUUCGAUGGUAGGAUAGAGGCCUACCAUGGUGGUAACGGGUAACGGGGUGUUAGGGCACGACACCGGAGAGGGAGCCUGAGAAACGGCUACCACAUCCAAGGAUGGCAGCAGGCGCGCAAAUUACCCAAUCCCGAUGCGGGGAGGUAGUGACAAUAAAUAACAAUACGGGGCUCUUUUGGGUCUCGUAAUUGGAAUGAGUACAAUUUAAAUCUCUUAACGAGGAACAAUUGGAGGGCAAGUCUGGUGCCAGCAGCCGCGGUAAUUCCAGCUCCAAUAGUGUAUAUUAAAGUUGUUGCAGUUAAAAAGCUCGUAGUUGAAUUUCGGGGUCAGCAGGUUGGUCGUGCCACUGGUAUGCACUGGUUUCGCUGAUUCCUCCUUUCUGAAGAACUGUAAUGCCAUUAAUUUGAUGUUGCAGGGAAACAGGACUGUUACUUUGAAAAAAUUAGAGUGUUUAAAGCAGGCUAACGCUUGAAUACAUUAGCAUGGAAUAAUGAAAUAGGACGUUUGAUCCUAUUUUGUUGGUUUCUAGGAUUGACGUAAUGAUUAAUAGGGAUAGUUGGGGGCAUUAGUAUUCAAUUGUCAGAGGUGAAAUUCUUGGAUUUAUUGAAGACUAACUACUGCGAAAGCAUUUGCCAAGGAUGUUUUCAUUAAUCAAGAACGAAAGUUAGGGGAUCGAAGACGAUCAGAUACCAUCGUAGUCUUAACCAUAAACUAUGCCGACUAGGGAUCGGAUGAUGUUAAUUUUUUAAUGACUCAUUCGGCGCCUUACGGGAAACCAAAGUGUUUGGGUUC